Molecule: ribosomal RNA, 2337 nt
Filed under: Ambystoma mexicanum (axolotl)
Lineage: Eukaryota; Metazoa; Chordata; Amphibia; Caudata; Ambystomatidae
Description: eukaryotic LSU rRNA
Rfam family: Eukaryotic large subunit ribosomal RNA (bases 191-1941)
Source: RNAcentral
CCUGGCCAUGCUGUGUGUGCCGGCGCAGGAUGGCCAUGGAGCACGGGCCUUAGCGACCAUGUGGCUUUGGCCGCAGGUCGGGACAGCGCAUACUCUGCUGCGCCAGAGGCACAGGGCUGGGGAAUACCCUCCCACCCCCCCUUUACAGGCCUGAGGCCAGCUGCCCUGAGCUUUGUGCUCCCCCAGACUUCGGCCUCAGAUCAGAUGUGGUGACCAGCUGAAUUUAUUACUAAGCGGAGGAAAAGAAACUAACCAGGACUCCCUCAGUAAUGCCAGUGAAAAGGGAAGAGCCCAGCGCCGAAUCCCCGUUCAACCAGCGCCGAAUCCCCGUUCAACGGCAGGUAUGGAAAAUGUGGCGUACAGAAGAUCGACUCCCGGCAUCGCUCAUGGGACUCGAGUCCUUCUGAUCGAGUCUCACCCGCGCACGGUGUUAGGCCGGUAGCUGACUUUGGCACGCCGGGAUCAGGUCUUUUUGGUGUCAGGUUGCUUGGGAAUGCAUCCCAAAGCCUGUGGUAAACUCCAUCUAAGGCUAAACACAUGCGCGAGACAGAUGGUUAACAAGUACCGCAAGGGAAAGUUGAUAAGAACUUUGAAGCGAGCGUUCAAGAGGGCGUGAAACCGUAGAGGGGUAAACUGGUCGGGUCUGUGCAGUCCACCCACAGGAUUCAACAUGGCAGGUAGGUCGGUUGCCUGAAACGGUGGAUGCCAUUGCGGGACUGUGGCCCGGGUAGACCUGGCCCCUACAGAGUGCAUUUCCUCUGUGGCGGUGCACCGCGGCGGGCUGGGAAGGCCCCAGGGGCAGGUGGCUCUCUGCUACGGCAGAGAGUGUUACAGCCCCCUGACAACAGUUUUGCAGUGUCUGCUGUGCCGAAGGAGAUUGACCGCUGCUGUGCCCUUCUCCGGCAACCGUCCUGGCCCCUCUUGGGGUUGCUGGUGCGGCGACGGGAGACGGGCUCCGAUGCGACUGUGGUGGACUGUCCUCAGUGCGCCCCGACCACGUUGUGCCGCUGCGUGGGGAGCCCCACAAAGGCUGCCAGGCAUUGAAUGCAAGUGCCCGGUGGGCAACUUUGUUAAGCAGAACUGGCGCUGCAGGAUGAACCGAAUGCCGAGUUAAGGCACCCAAUGCGAUGCUCAUCAGACCCAGUAAAGGUGUUGUUUGAUAUAUGGAAGUUGGAAUCCGCUAAGGAGGGUUCUCUUUUUUUCUUAGUGAAGGGCAGUGCACCCUGGAAUGGGUUCGCCCUGAGAGGGGGCCCGAGCCUUGGAAAGCAUCGCAGUUCCGGCGGUGUGCGGUGGGGUCUCUCUAGUCCUUGAAAAUCCAGGGGAGAUGUUGUGAAUCUUGUGCUGGGCCCUACCCAUAUCCGCAGCAGGUCUCCAUGGUGGACAGCCUCUGGCAUGUUGGAACAAUGUAGGUAAGGGAAUUCGGCAAGUCAGAUCUGUAACUUUGGGAUAAGGAUUGGCUCUGAGGGCUGGGUCGGUUGGGCUGGGUAGCGGGGGCAGGCUGUACGCCGCGGCUGGAGGAGGCGUCUCAUUCUCCUCCCCCCGGGGGGAGGUGCCGACUCUGGUUGCGAGCCAGGCCCUGCCUGUGGAUCGCCACAGCUGCAGUGGUCGCCUCUCUACGUUCCCCUCCCAGGGUUCGGGCCUGACGUUCUGCCUAGGCUGAUGCCUAGCAGCUGACUUAGAACUGGUGUGGACCAGGAGAAUCCGACUGUUUAUUUAAAUUGAAGCAUUGCGAAGGCCUGAGGUGGGUGUUGACGCAAUGUGAUGUCUGCCCAGUGCUCUGAAUGUCAAAGUGAAGAAAUUUAAUGAAGCGCAGGUAAAGGCGAGAGUAACUAUGACUCUCUUAAGGUAGCCAAAUGCCUCGUCAUCUAAUAAGUGACGCGCAUGAAUGGAUGAACUAGAUUCCUACUGUCUCUACCUAGAAACCACAGCCAAGGGUCAAGUCCAAGACGGGGUGCCUUUAGCUGGUCCCUUUCCUCCAUGUUGGGGUAAAUGCACUCACAAUUGCUGGCCUUGAGUUCCAAAGUGUUUGUGGGUUAGUCCCGGAGGGAAAGGUUCUAAUGGGGUGGGAGAAGCUCAAAGGGGGGGCCUGGCCAGAGCUCCGGGAGAGUGCUGCCCCCCCGGCCUUGGGCGCCUGUCUCACGUGUGGGUCGACUGUUGCUCACCGGAGGGAUAAGCUCCAAGGCGGGCGAGAAACCUCUUAUGUGGAGGGGGGGGAAAGCUCUAAGGUGUCCUGGCCAGGCCUCGAGGAUGACCGUUGGUGCUGGCCCAUGCCCUUGGGGACCUGCCGAUCCUUUGUCAGGCGGGCGGGGGCCAAAGGCCUUUCCCAUCCAGGCCCAU